GUUUAAGAAACAUUUAUUAUGUAUCUACCAGGUACUAGGAAUUAUAUAUCCUAGCAUGAUGGAAAUGUGAAAAAAUAAAUGUGACAGUUACUAUCCUCAAAAUAAAUAAAUGAAUGCUGAUUGCCUGACUGUCCGUGCUGUGGGACAGAAGAAUUGCAGAUUGGCCAUCUUGCCCUCUCUCGGUCCCACAGAAUCUUAAAACCUGGAUGCUGCAAGUAAUCUCCCAAAAGCCUUUGCGGUAAGCCCAGGCACGGGACAGAAGGAUGGGGAAGAGAAGAAUUCGGGUGUCGGGAAAAGCUGCAAUGCCUCCGUUUCCAUUUCUGUUUAACUGGCAGGGGUCCCUCUAAAAACGAAGGUAAAGAAUCCAGAAGGAAGGUUCUAGUGGAACAGAGACUGAAAAGCAUCAGGAAAAACUUGUGUAUAUGCGUACUGAAAAUCAUGGCCAUGGUAGAGAUACAGUGGAUUUCAUUUGUAAGUAAUCGAUCUGUUUCUUUAAAGGACAUGGUGUUUUUGUACACAGAGACU
RNAcentral lists this long non-coding RNA (525 nucleotides) under Monodelphis domestica (gray short-tailed opossum). RNAcentral's name for it is "lncRNA (ENSMODG00000050546.1)". Lineage: Eukaryota; Metazoa; Chordata; Mammalia; Didelphimorphia; Didelphidae. The record is from RNAcentral.